UAUGUGUGUGUGAUUUACAAUCCCAUCUACCUGUCUUUAUCUGUAUCCUUAUCCAAACCUUGGCACCAUUCCCCAGAGAGACACAAAAUAAAAUGUUUACACACACACACACACACACACACACACACACAGUUCUGUGAUUGUGCCAGUCUCAUUGCUCUCCAAAGGGAUUUGACUGGGAUUAGUGUGUAAAAGCGAGUAUCCACUUGAUAACGCUGUAUGCCUGUUU
Molecule: long non-coding RNA, 229 nt
Organism: Salarias fasciatus (jewelled blenny)
Lineage: Eukaryota; Metazoa; Chordata; Actinopteri; Blenniiformes; Blenniidae
Exons: 3
Source: RefSeq, a predicted model, not a curated record